GAACGCAUGGCUUAGUGGUCAGAACGCUUGGACGGUUUCCAAGAAGCGUGGUUUCAAACCCUACUACGUUCA
This 72-nucleotide transfer RNA is filed under the name Heliconius melpomene (postman butterfly). Its description in RNAcentral is "tRNA HMEL011759". It matches the Rfam family "tRNA". Rfam says of the family: Transfer RNA (tRNA) molecules are approximately 80 nucleotides in length. Their secondary structure includes four short double-helical elements and three loops (D, anti-codon, and T loops). The record is from RNAcentral. Lineage: Eukaryota; Metazoa; Arthropoda; Insecta; Lepidoptera; Nymphalidae.